GACGAACGCUGGCGGCGUGCCUAAUACAUGCAAGUAGGACGCAGUUGCGAACGGGCGCGUAACGCGUAGGUAACUACCUAUUAGAGGGGGAUAACUAUUGGAAACGAUAGCUAAUACCGCAUACUCGUAGAUGGACCUGCUUUGUAUUAUCUAGUAGGUAGGGUAAUGGCCUACCUAGGCAACGAUCCAUAGCCGAGCUGAGAGGGUGAUCGGCAACACUGGGACGUGGAACAGGCCCAGACUCCUACGGGAGGAAGCAGUAGGGAAUCUUCGGAAAUUGGGGGAAGCCUGACCGAGCAAAGACGCGUGAGUGAAGAAGGUUUGCUGAUAGGAAAGCUCUGUUGUUAAGGAAGCGGUACUUAACCAGAAAGGGACGGCUAACUACGUGCCAGCCGCCGCGGUAAUAC
This 407-nucleotide ribosomal RNA is filed under the name uncultured bacterium. Its description in RNAcentral is "partial 16S ribosomal RNA". It matches the Rfam family "Bacterial small subunit ribosomal RNA", at positions 28 to 526 of the family's 1533-position model. The record is from RNAcentral.